CGACGAUGACUUUUGUGCUUGCACAGAAUGAUUAGUGGCGAACGGGUGAGUAACACGUGAGUAACCUGCCCCUGACUCUGGGAUAAGCCUGGGAAACUGGGUCUAAUACCGGAUAUGCACCGUUGACCGCAUGGUUUUUGGUGGAAAGAUUUUUUGGUCAGGGAUGGACUCGCGGCCUAUCAGCUUGUUGGUGAGGUAAUGGCUCACCAAGGCGACGACGGGUAGCCGGCCUGAGAGGGUGACCGGCCACACUGGGACUGAGACACGGCCCAGACUCCUACGGGAGGCAGCAGUGGGGAAUAUUGCACAAUGGGCGAAAGCCUGAUGCAGCGACGCCGCGUGAGGGAUGACGGCCUUCGGGUUGUAAACCUCUUUCAGUAGGGAAGAAGCGAAAGUGACGGUACCUGCAGAAGAAGCGCCGGCUAACUACGUGCCAGCAGCCGCGGUAAUACGUAGGGCGCAAGCGUUAUCCGGAAUUAUUGGGCGUAAAGAGCUCGUAGGCGGUUUGUCGCGUCUAUCGUGAAAGUCCGAGGCUCAACCUCGGAUCUGCGGUGGGUACGGGCAGACUAGAGUGAUGUAGGGGAGACUGGAAUUCCUGGUGUAGCGGUGAAAUGCGCAGAUAUCAGGAGGAACACCGAUGGCGAAGGCAGGUCUCUGGGCAUUAACUGACGCUGAGGAGCGAAAGCAUGGGGAGCGAACAGGAUUAGAUACCCUGGUAGUCCAUGCCGU
Molecule: ribosomal RNA, 729 nt
Filed under: Arthrobacter sp. EC15(2012)
Lineage: Bacteria; Bacillati; Actinomycetota; Actinomycetes; Micrococcales; Micrococcaceae
Description: bacterial SSU rRNA
Rfam family: Bacterial small subunit ribosomal RNA
Source: RNAcentral